AUUGCCUCAGUAACGGCGAGUGAAGCGGCAAGAGCUCAAAUUUGAAAUCUGGCCCCCUGGGGGUCCGAGUUGUAAUUUGCAGAGGAUGCUUCGGGUGCGGUCCCCAUCUAAGUGCCCUGGAACGGGCCGUCAUAGAGGGUGAGAAUCCCGUCUGGGAUGGGCGGCCGUGCCCGUGUGAAGCUCCUUCGACGAGUCGAGUUGUUUGGGAAUGCAGCUCUAAGCGGGUGGUAAAUUUCAUCUAAAGCUAAAUACUGGCCGGAGACCGAUAGCGCACAAGUAGAGUGAUCGAAAGAUGAAAAGCACUUUGAAAAGAGAGUUAAACAGCACGUGAAAUUGUUGAAAGGGAAGCGUUGUCCACCAGACUCGCCCGGGGGGGUUCAGCCGGCACUCGUGCCGGUGUACUCCUCUCCGGGCGGGCCAGCAUCGGUUUGGGCGGCUGGUGAAAGGCCCCGGGAAUGUAACACCCUCCGGGGUGCCUUAUAGCCCGGGGUGCCAUGCGGCCAGCCUGGACCGAGGCCCGCGCUUCGGCGAGGAUGCUGGCGUAAUGGUGGUCAACGGCCCGUCUUGAAACACGGACCAAGGAGUCUAACAUCUAUGCGAGUGUUCGGGUGUCAAACCCGUCCGCGCAGUGAAAGCGAACGGAGGUGGGAGCCCCCCGGGGUGCACCAUCGACCGAUCCUGAUGUCUUCGGAUGGAUUUGAGUAAGAGCAUAGCUGUUGGGACCCGAAAGAUGGUGAACUAUGCCUGAAUAGGGCGAAGCCAGAGGAAACUCUGGUGGAGGCUCGCAGCGGUUCUGACGUGCAAAUCGAUCGUCAAAUUUGGGUAUAGGGGCGAAAGACUAAUCGAACCAUCUGGUAGCUGGUUCCUGCCGAAGUUUCCCUCAGGAUAGCAGUAACGACAUCAGUUUUAUGAGGUAGAGCGAAUGAUUAGAGGCCUUGGGGUUGAAACAACCUUAACCUAUUCUCAAACUUUAAAUAUGUAAGAAGCCCUUGUUGCUUAGUUGAACGUGGGCGUUAGAAUGAAACGUUACUAGUGGGGCAUUUUUUGGUAAGCAAAACUGGCGAUGCCGGGAUGA
Molecule: ribosomal RNA, 1075 nt
Filed under: Talaromyces sp.
Lineage: Eukaryota; Fungi; Ascomycota; Eurotiomycetes; Eurotiales; Trichocomaceae
Description: LSU rRNA
Rfam family: Eukaryotic large subunit ribosomal RNA
Source: RNAcentral